This 74-nucleotide transfer RNA is filed under the name Clostridia bacterium. RNAcentral describes it as "tRNA-Gln". It matches the Rfam family "tRNA". From Rfam's summary of the family: Transfer RNA (tRNA) molecules are approximately 80 nucleotides in length. Their secondary structure includes four short double-helical elements and three loops (D, anti-codon, and T loops). Further hydrogen bonds mediate the characteristic L-shaped molecular structure. tRNAs have two regions of fundamental functional importance: the anti-codon, which is responsible for specific mRNA codon recognition, and the 3' end, to which the tRNAs corresponding amino acid is attached (by aminoacyl-tRNA synthetases). tRNAs cope with the degeneracy of the genetic code in two manners: having more than one tRNA (with a specific anti-codon) for a particular amino acid; and 'wobble' base-pairing, i.e. permitting non-standard base-pairing at the 3rd anti-codon position. Lineage: Bacteria; Bacillati; Bacillota; Clostridia. RNAcentral also lists the same sequence under 1 other name. The record is from RNAcentral.
AGGGGUAUCGCCAAGCGGCAAGGCAAAGGACUUUGACUCCUUCAUCGAUGGUUCGAUUCCAUCUACCCCUGCCA